AUUUAGCUGAUGAGUCCCGAAUAGGACGAAGCGCGCGACCCGGAU
Molecule: non-coding RNA, 45 nt
Organism: Schistosoma haematobium
Lineage: Eukaryota; Metazoa; Platyhelminthes; Trematoda; Strigeidida; Schistosomatidae
Source: Rfam